AAUCAACGCUGGCGGCGUGCCUAACACAUGCAAGUCGCACGAGAAAGGGACUUCGGUCCUGAGUACAGUGGCGCACGGGUGAGUAACACGUGACUAACCUACCUCCGAGUGGGGAAUAACCUAGAGAAAUCUGGGCUAAUACCGCAUAACACUUACGAGUCAAAGCAGCAAUGCGCUUGGAGAGGGGGUCGCGGCAGAUUAGUUAGUUGGCAGGGUAAUGGCCUACCAAGACGAUGAUCUGUAUCCGGCCUGAGAGGGCGCACGGACACACUGGAACUGAAACACGGUCCAGACUCCUACGGGAGGCAGCAGUGGGGAAUUUUGCGCAAUGGGGGAAACCCUGACGCAGCAACGCCGCGUGGAGGAUGAAAUCCCUUGGGAUGUAAACUCCUUUCGAUCGGGAAGAUAAUGACGGUACCGAGAGAAGAAGCCCCGGCUAACUUCGUGCCAGCCGCCGCAGUAAG
This 464-nucleotide ribosomal RNA is filed under the name uncultured bacterium. RNAcentral describes it as "bacterial SSU rRNA". It matches the Rfam family "Bacterial small subunit ribosomal RNA", at positions 32 to 524 of the family's 1533-position model. The record is from RNAcentral.